CUGAGCCCCUCAAAGGAGAGCUCCCCACAGGAAGGAAAAGUCAGCCUAAGAGGGAGCGAAAUCCAUGAAGCUGAGUUGCCAGAAUCCCUCCACAGGCCACCCAAGCAGCGAAGAAAUUCAUGGAGAGAAAGAAAGAAAAGACCCACAGCCUGUUAUUUGGGAGGACAGCAAGAAGAGGAUAGCUGGCAAGAUUACAUCCUACCACAUAGGCCAGUCUGGAGAUGAAAAGGACCCUAAGAAAUGAAUUGUACAAAGAUUAACAAACGCGAACCCUUUGCUGGAGUUUACAUUGUAAUACAGACCCUUCAUGAUGUGGCCAGGCAUGUCAAGGCCAUACAGACAAGAGAAGACAAACAUUCAGCCUAGAUAUGGAGAGGCAGCUGAAUAUUUACAUUACCCAACAGAGCAAAGGUGAGUGCAUUUUGGGAUAGACGGAGGGCAGGCUGUCCACACGGUGUGAUUUGACUAAAUAUUGUUGGUGAUUCAUUUCUCAAAAAUAUAUCAACUCCAUUGCUUGUCAUAUGUUCUGAAAUUUUAGCUCUUUCUUUUG
Molecule: long non-coding RNA, 550 nt
Filed under: Macaca mulatta (Rhesus monkey)
Lineage: Eukaryota; Metazoa; Chordata; Mammalia; Primates; Cercopithecidae
Description: lncRNA (ENSMMUG00000065215.1)
Source: RNAcentral